Cryptomeria japonica (Japanese cedar) is the source of this 1655-nucleotide long non-coding RNA. RefSeq lists it as uncharacterized. The transcript has 3 exons. The record is from RefSeq and is a predicted model, not a curated record. Lineage: Eukaryota; Viridiplantae; Streptophyta; Pinopsida; Cupressales; Cupressaceae.
UGAAGGGGCAGAUCCUUAAACCACCCUAGGGUUCCUCCUUGAGGGCGGUUCCCUAAACCGCACUAGGGCAAAUAUUAUAUGCGACUCUGUUUUGGGAUUGGGGAUGCCGAAAGUUUUGUUUGCCUUUGUGCACGCUGGGACUGGGUCUCUGAGACGGAAACCUCAGAGGUAAGGGAGGUGGGACGAUACCCCCACUUACUCUUCUUCCACUUUAGGUUACAAUCGUCAACAGAUUCCUUUUGUUGUGUAUUGAAAUCGUCAUCAACAGAGCAAGAAGGGCAAUAGGAGGAAAGGAAGGCCAUAGAGCAGCCCUCAGCUACAGCACAUUUGAAUCAGAUCAGUUCACAUCUCACAGGCUCAGAUUAUAGUUAAGGUUAUGCACUUUUUAACAGUGCCCCUCUAAGGCAUCAAGCUCUAUAUUGAGCUCUAUAAAAGCUAUAACAGAUGAAUUACCAACUCCAGACUAAACGAACUAGAGGAGAUCAAUGACAAAUAGGCCAGCAAUGGGGUGAUGUGUGAUAUGGUCACAAGAGUCUCCAGAUGUUUCUGCACUGAAAAAAACAAAAAAACCCUAAAACACGUCUGUUUUAGAGGCGGAAAAACAUGGGUUUGGGAAGAAAAACGCAUUUCCAGCCACUGACAAAGCUGCGCGAACAGAUUUUGCAGGGUUUUUUGACACCGCGAUGCGAUUUCGACCCCUUUUUCUGCCACACAAAGGGAUUUUGAAGGUUUCAUACUAUUGAAAGAUUUUUUGGCACGACUUGGGUUGUUGCAGAAUCGCAAAUCAAAGAAAAGAAUUUGAAAGAUUCAAAAUGUCAGGAGGAGCAAAAUUGUAUCCACUAUGGAAGUAUGUUGACCACAUUCCGGGGCUGAAAGGAUCAGGUGGAACAGCCACCAUCAAAUGUAAACUUUGUCCAUUGGCAUGGAAAGGUACCUACAUGAGGAUGAGGGUUCAUUUCCUUCACCUACCAUGUAAUGGUAUUGAAGGUUGUACAAAUGAGUCAGAACGAUAUGAUGCUGUGAGGGAACAAGAAAGGAAUGAUGGGAAAGUUGCUAUUCAAAGCUUUCACGCUUCAACAAUAGGGGCAACUAUUGCAGCUCACAGUCAUAAUAUAGAGUCAAAGGUGGAUGCAAAUUCUAGAGAUGUAACAACUGAACAAGCUUGCAAAAGACCACACAUUGGCAGCUCAAACCCCAUUGGAAGAUUGUUUGAUGUGUAAGGUUGAGAAGCAGUUGAUGCAAUGAUUGGAUGAUUCUUUUAUGCUAUGUCAUAGGAUUUGCUAAAUUUUCGGCUUCAAGUUCGAAAUUUGGCGAACUUAUAAAAUAUGCAUGAAAUUCAUUAAAAUUCGGCCAAAAAUUCAUACAAAAUAGGGCUCCUUUAGUAUUAUUAAUACUAAAAUUCACAGAGCAUUGUUUAGGAGUUUUUAUUUCUUGUUUUUUGUUAUUAAUAACGCUACAACCUCAUGAAAUGUAGUGUCUAUUGAAAACGGAUUUUUUUAGUUUUCAUAGCUAGGGCACAAUGAAUUUCUUCUGUGCGUGAUAGAAUACUAAGGUUUGAAGGCACAAGCUUGUAUUUCAUGAUGGGAAGACGGUAAAACUUGUUGAAGAGGGCAAUAAAAUUGUAUUCAGCGUUCUUUUUCUGCCAUGGGAUGAAA